RNA transcript from Ziziphus jujuba (common jujube), 1699 nucleotides. RefSeq lists it as uncharacterized. The transcript has a single exon. The record is from RefSeq and is a predicted model, not a curated record. NCBI's taxonomy places the organism in Eukaryota, Viridiplantae, Streptophyta, Magnoliopsida, Rosales, Rhamnaceae.
UAGUUUUUAUGGAUAUUCAAGGACAUUUCUAAGUUUUAAACUAUCGAAACCAAAAUUUUGAACAUUGAUCGCAAUUUUGUCCAUGGCCUCAGGUUCCAUUUCUCAUGAAGAAAUGGAUAGAGAGAUGAAUAGGCCAAUUGUUUUGUCUCGACCACCUGAUAUUAAUAUCCUCUUAUCUGCUAAACAUAGUUCUCCUCCACAUCUAUGGAAUUCAGACCCUUUUGAUAUGUUGGAUGUUGGUCUUGGAGUUCAAAUUAAUGACCCUGAGGCACACCAUCUGCAAAGAACGGUCGAAAAUGAAGCAAAAGGUUGGAUAGUGUUUUGGGGUGCCUGGUUUUUCUUUAGUUAUUAUUUUAAGCCUGUUCCAAAUGAGAAAUCGAAAACCAAGCUCAUUCGAGAUUCUAAUGGGGUUUCGGGGUAUGAUAAGUCAGAUCUUGUGCUUGAGGUGUUCUUGGUUCAGCAUGAUAUGAAGAAUAUGUACAUGUGGGUGUUUAAGGAGAGGCCUAAGAAUGCGUCGGGUAAGAUGCAGUUGAGGAGCUACAUGAACGAACACUCACGCCAGGAAGAAUGUAAAUUUUCAUUUAGUGUUGACAAGAGGAAGCAUUAUGGAGGCCUCUCCAAUCCCCAAUGCAUACAUGGGCUUGAGGUUGUUUGUUCACCCAAUCUCAACGGUCUAAACGAGGAAGAGCAGAAAAGAUGGAGAGAACUUACAUGCAGGGAUCUGAACUUCUCAGUCCCACCGGAAGCAAUUGAGUUUUGUUCAUGGAUAAACCUUACUAAUACUGCAUUUGAGCUUGAGAUACCCAUUCCUUUAUUGAAGACCAACACACAUUCCCAUUCAAAGAAAUUACUUAAUGGUCCUAGGCUCAAUCUGUCAACUCGGCUAUCAAAUCAUGCUAAUGGUGGUGGAAUGGACAUCUCAGCUCUUUGCCACAAGAGGAAGAAAGAUUUGUUUCUGCAUGGCAAUGAUGACGAUUGUUGUUUGCUCAUGAAUCAACCUAAUGGUAGAGUGCAAGAUACAAAAAUACACCCAAUAUAACAACCAUGGUUAAACGAGUUUAAUGGGGUUAUGAGAAAUUGAUAUGGGCCCGUCACAGCUGCAAAAACUAUUUAUGAGGAUGAAAAAGGAUACUUGAUAAUAAUAAGCUUGCCUUUCAUUGACCUUUAAAAGGUUAAAGUUACUUAGUGGAAUACUCUCAUGCAUGGUGUGGUCAAGAUAUCAUGUGUGAGUGCAGCCUGCAUGCAUUAUAUCAAAAGAAAUGAUAGAACUUUCAAGCUUACUGAUCCUUCUCCUGAGCAUUGCCCCCCUUGGAGAAUUCAUAAGGGAAAUUCUAUUACCUGCUUGUAUUCCAGAUGAUGCUAGGCUAGAAGCAUAUGGUGAUGAAACUGUUACGGGUCUUGAGAUCAUGGUUCCAAAACACCAUGUAAGACCAGAGGAGCAUGAAGUUCGUGUUUGCCUACGCCCUCACCUCGAAGUCAAUGAGUUGCUGUUGUCUUGGAUGAGAUCAUAUAUGCUGAAGAAUUGUAACAUCAAGUUCAAAAUUAGUUUGUAUCAAAGAAAGAAUUCUUCCAUUUAUGAAGUAAAAUUACAUUUUUUUUUUAUCAUAGCCACUGUACGUAACUGUUCUGGUACAUGUAUGCUGGAAUAACUCUUUUUGUGGAUUGACAUGGUUGAAGUAAUAAAAGGGUUAGGAGCAAA